GUUGCUGCUAGGUGCAGUAGGGUAGUGGGAGAAUCAGUAGUUGUUCCUGAUUAAGGCGGAAUCAUAGCGGACGAUUUGAGUUAGACCGACAUUGUUGCUGGAGCCGACGAGCCUCCGCAGCUCCGACCUUACUUUGUAAAAUAUGUGGCUCCAGCUGCCUUUGUUGUUGCAUUCUAAUACGGUUUUCUCCUCUUCAUUCAUUUUCAAAUUCUUGGCAAAUGUGGGCAGAGUGUUUGUGUUUGUUGAAGAAGAAGAAGAACGAAUGAGAUGGGCUUUGGGUGGAGAGGGAUCGAACUGGCGUGGGAGUGGG
This 310-nucleotide long non-coding RNA is filed under the name Capsicum annuum. RNAcentral's name for it is "long non-coding RNA (CANN_LNC019717)". Lineage: Eukaryota; Viridiplantae; Streptophyta; Magnoliopsida; Solanales; Solanaceae. The record is from RNAcentral.